GAUGAACGCUGGCGGCGUGCUUAACACAUGCAAGUCGAACGAAGCAAUCUAACGGAAGUUUUCGGAUGGAAGCUGGAUUGACUGAGUGGCGAACGGGUGAGUAACGCGUGGGUAACCUGCCUCACACUGGGGGACAACAGUUAGAAAUGACUGCUAAUACCGCAUAAGCGCACAGGACCGCAUGGUCUAGUGUGAAAAACUCCGGUGGUGUGAGAUGGACCCGCGUUUGAUUAGCUAGUUGGUGGGGUAACGGCCUACCAAGGCGACGAUCAAUAGCCGACCUGAGAGGGUGACCGGCCACAUUGGGACUGAGACACGGCCCAAACUCCUACGGGAGGCAGCAGUGGGGAAUAUUGCACAAUGGGGGAAACCCUGAUGCAGCGACGCCGCGUGAGUGAAGAAGUAUUUCGGUAUGUAAAGCUCUAUCAGCAGGGAAGAAAAUGACGGUACCUGACUAAGAAGCCCCGGCUAACUACGUGCCAGCCGCCGCAGUAA
Molecule: ribosomal RNA, 495 nt
Filed under: uncultured bacterium
Lineage: Bacteria
Description: partial 16S ribosomal RNA
Rfam family: Bacterial small subunit ribosomal RNA
Source: RNAcentral